GGUUGGGUAGCUCAGUUGGUAGAGCACACUUGCCCGUGAAAGCAAAGGUCCUGAGUUCGAAUCUCGGCCCAACACA
This is a non-coding RNA of Schistocerca piceifrons (Central American locust), 76 nucleotides long. The record is from the annotation of a RefSeq genome assembly. Lineage: Eukaryota; Metazoa; Arthropoda; Insecta; Orthoptera; Acrididae.